CAGCAAGAGUUUUCUGGCAGGCUCCCUUCACAAGAUGUUUUUCAUGAAAUGUGGAAAACAGCUUACUGACAAUGAAGAGGUCCUCUCGUUUCACAACGCCUUCCUUGAUUUUCUGCUGGAUCGCAUCCCCAACCUCCUUCUCGUUCUGGUACGCAUAGGCACCAUCAAAGUGGCGGUAUCCAGCAUCGAUUGCAGCCAUCACUGCAGCUGUCACUUGCCCUGGUGGGGACUUCCAGGUGCCCAGCCCCAGGAUGGGCAUCUUGGCUCCGGUGUUCAGCUGCACGUAGGUCGCCAUGGCCCCUCACGCUGCCAGUCCGGCUGUGCUGUGGCCGCUUCCUGCCCAGCCUGUUUAAUAGUGACGGUGCUGCCCCUGGGCGGGGGGAGGAUGGCGGAGCAGCGCUUGCGCUCUGAGCUCUCACGUGUCCAGCAACAGUGCUGCGUAUUAUUCUCAACUCAC
This 457-nucleotide long non-coding RNA is filed under the name Gallus gallus (chicken). Lineage: Eukaryota; Metazoa; Chordata; Aves; Galliformes; Phasianidae. The record is from RNAcentral.